This 274-nucleotide ribosomal RNA is filed under the name uncultured bacterium. RNAcentral describes it as "partial 16S ribosomal RNA". It matches the Rfam family "Bacterial small subunit ribosomal RNA", at positions 523 to 796 of the family's 1533-position model. The record is from RNAcentral.
AUACGGAGGGUGCAAGCGUUGUUCGGAAUCACUGGGCGUAAAGGGCGCGCAGGCGGUUUGGUAAGUCAGAUGUGAAAGCCCACGGCUCAACCGUGGAAGUGCAUUUGAAACUGCCAGACUUGAGUACCAGAGGGGAAAGUGGAAUUCCCGGUGUAGAGGUGAAAUUCGUAGAUAUCGGGAGGAAUACCGGUGGCGAAGGCGACUUUCUGGCUGGAUACUGACGCUGAGGCGCGAAAGCGUGGGGAGCGAACAGGAUUAGAAACCCGGGUAGUCC